UAUAAUUAGACUAGCUGAAGCGACAGGCGUUGUCCUCUCCUACGAACUGUUAAACGCGGGAAGUUGCAAUAAUUGUAACAUUUUUGGAAAAUGUCUAAUGUUCUGUGAGAAUCUUUUACAAGUUUAACUGAGGUAGGGCACAGCAGGAAUUUCCUGCUCAAAAUAUGGAGCAGCCCGACUGGGGUAGUACCUCGACCUUACAGAAGAUCACAG
RNAcentral lists this unclassified non-coding RNA (213 nucleotides) under Melitaea cinxia (Glanville fritillary). Its description in RNAcentral is "misc RNA ENSMCXG00005004185.1". The record is from RNAcentral. Lineage: Eukaryota; Metazoa; Arthropoda; Insecta; Lepidoptera; Nymphalidae.